This 67-nucleotide transfer RNA is filed under the name Faxonius luteus. Its description in RNAcentral is "tRNA-Trp". The record is from RNAcentral. Lineage: Eukaryota; Metazoa; Arthropoda; Malacostraca; Decapoda; Cambaridae.
AAGACUUUAAGUUAAUAAAACUAACAUCCUUCAAAGUUGUAAAAAAAAGAAGUUCUUUUAGGUCUUA